RNAcentral lists this long non-coding RNA (224 nucleotides) under Volvox carteri. RNAcentral's name for it is "long non-coding RNA (VCAR_LNC004281)". The record is from RNAcentral. Lineage: Eukaryota; Viridiplantae; Chlorophyta; Chlorophyceae; Chlamydomonadales; Volvocaceae.
UUAGGUUAACAGGCAACUGCCGACUUUUGAAGUUUCGGCCUUCCGCGUUCCGCCUUGUAUUAAUUACAGACAAUGGCAAAGGUACCAGCACAAAACGCGUGGAGCACAAGCCUCUGUGACUGCGCAGCGGAGCCCAGUGGAUGUGGAUUUUGCCGUGAGUUCGGCAGUCCAUAUCGUGAAGCCUUCCGGCACCUCAAAUGCGCUACAUAUGCGCACGCACGUCG